RNAcentral lists this ribosomal RNA (376 nucleotides) under Salmonella enterica. Its description in RNAcentral is "partial 23S ribosomal RNA". It matches the Rfam family "Bacterial large subunit ribosomal RNA", at positions 147 to 561 of the family's 2925-position model. Lineage: Bacteria; Pseudomonadati; Pseudomonadota; Gammaproteobacteria; Enterobacterales; Enterobacteriaceae. RNAcentral also lists the same sequence under 4 other names. The record is from RNAcentral.
ACUAUCAUUAACUGAAUCCAUAGGUUAAUGAGGCGAACCGGGGGAACUGAAACAUCUAAGUACCCCGAGGAAAAGAAAUCAACCGAGAUUCCCCCAGUAGCGGCGAGCGAACGGGGAGGAGCCCAGAGCCUGAAUCAGCAUGUGUGUUAGUGGAAGCGUCUGGAAAGGCGCGCGAUACAGGGUGACAGCCCCGUACACAAAAGCGCAUGUGCUGUGAGCUCGAUGAGUAGGGCGGGACACGUGGUAUCCUGUCUGAAUAUGGGGGGACCAUCCUCCAAGGCUAAAUACUCCUGACUGACCGAUAGUGAACCAGUACCGUGAGGGAAAGGCGAAAAGAACCCCGGCGAGGGGAGUGAAAAAGAACCUGAAACCGUGU